AUUGAACGCUGGCGGCAGGCCUAACACAUGCAAGUCGAGCGGAUGACGGGAGCUUGCUCCUUGAUUCAGCGGCGGACGGGUGAGUAAUGCCUAGGAAUCUGCCUGGUAGUGGGGGACAACGUUUCGAAAGGAACGCUAAUACCGCAUACGUCCUACGGGAGAAAGCAGGGGACCUUCGGGCCUUGCGCUAUCAGAUGAGCCUAGGUCGGAUUAGCUAGUUGGUGGGGUAAUGGCUCACCAAGGCGACGAUCCGUAACUGGUCUGAGAGGAUGUUCAGACACACUCGACAUGAGAAAGAGUCCAGACUCCUACGGGAGGCAGCAGUGGGGAAUAUUGGACAAUGGGCGAAAGCCUGAUCCAUCCAUGCGGCGUGUGUGAAGAAGGUCUUCGGAUUGUGAAGCACUUUAAGUUGGGAGGAAGGGCAGUAAACUAAUACCUUGCUGUUUUGACGUUACCGACAGAAUCAGCACCGGCUAACUCUGUGCCAGCCGCCGCGGUAA
This 500-nucleotide ribosomal RNA is filed under the name uncultured bacterium. Its description in RNAcentral is "partial 16S ribosomal RNA". It matches the Rfam family "Bacterial small subunit ribosomal RNA", at positions 30 to 523 of the family's 1533-position model. The record is from RNAcentral.